RNAcentral lists this ribosomal RNA (915 nucleotides) under uncultured fungus. RNAcentral's name for it is "eukaryotic LSU rRNA". The stretch from base 269 to 915 matches the Rfam family "Eukaryotic large subunit ribosomal RNA", at positions 1 to 664 of the family's 3401-position model. Lineage: Eukaryota; Fungi. The record is from RNAcentral.
AUCGAUGAAGAACGCAGCGAAAUGCGAUAAGUAAUGUGAAUUGCAGAAUUCAGUGAAUCAUCGAAUCUUUGAACGCACAUUGCGCCCCCUGGUAUUCCGGGGGGCACACCUGUUCGAGCGCCAUUUCAACCCUCAAGCCCCGCUUGGUGAUGGGCCCCGCCCGCGGGCGGGCCCGAAACUCGUGGGCGUCGUCGUUCGGCUCCAAGCGUAGCAAAACCCUCGCUUGGGCGCCCGGACGGCGGCCGCCCGGAACGAAUUUUUACAAGGUUGGCCUCGGAUCAGGUGGGGAUACCCGCUGAACUUAAGCAUAUCAAUAAGCGGAGGAAAAGAAACCAACAGGGAUUGCCUCAGUAACGGCGAGUGAAGCGGCAACAGCUCAAAUUUGAAAUCUGGCCCCUUCGGGGUCCGAGUUGUAAUUUGCAGAGGGUGCUUCGGUGGAAGUCCCGGCCCAAGUCCCUUGGAACAGGACGUCAGAGAGGGUGAGAACCCCGUGUCCGGCCGGCGACGCUCCCCGCGUGAAGCCCCUUCGACGAGUCGAGUUGUUUGGGAAUGCAGCUCUAAAUUGGUGGUAAAUUCCAUCUAAAGCUAAAUACCGGCCAGAGACCGAUAGCGCACAAGUAGAGUGAUCGAAAGAUGAAAAGCACUUUGAAAAGAGAGUCAAAAAGUACGUGAAAUUGUUGAAAGGGAAGCGCUUGCGGCCAGACUCGCCCGCGGAUGUUCAGCCUGCCUUCUGGCGGGUGCACUCUUCCGCGGUCGGGCCAGCAUCGGUUUGGGCGGCCGGACAAAGGCCCGGGGAACGUGGCCCCCUUCGGGGGGUGUUAUAGCCCCGGGUGCAAUGCGGCCAGCCCGGACCGAGGAUCGCGCUCUGCUAGGAUGCUGGCGUAAUGGCCGUAAGCGGCCCGUCUUGAAACACGG